This 253-nucleotide ribosomal RNA is filed under the name uncultured bacterium. RNAcentral describes it as "partial 16S ribosomal RNA". It matches the Rfam family "Bacterial small subunit ribosomal RNA", at positions 524 to 776 of the family's 1533-position model. The record is from RNAcentral.
UACAGAGGUGGCAAGCGUUGUUCGGAAUUACUGGGCGUAAAGGGCGCGUAGGCGGCCUUCUAAGUCAGACGUGAAAUCCCCCGGCUUAACCUGGGAACUGCGUCUGAUACUGGGAGGCUAGAGUGCGGGAGAGGGAUGCGGAAUUCCAGGUGUAGCGGUGAAAUGCGUAGAUAUUGGGAGGAACACCAGUGGCGAAGGCGGCUACCUGGACCGGUUCUGACGCUGAGGCGCGAAAGCGUGGGUAGCAAACAGG